This 1338-nucleotide ribosomal RNA is filed under the name uncultured bacterium. RNAcentral describes it as "16S ribosomal RNA". It matches the Rfam family "Bacterial small subunit ribosomal RNA", at positions 28 to 1386 of the family's 1533-position model. The record is from RNAcentral.
GACGAACGCUGGCGGCGCGCCUAACACAUGCAAGUCGAACGAGCGAGAGAGAGCUUGCUUUCUCGAGCGAGUGGCGAACGGGUGAGUAACGCGUGAGGAACCUGCCUCAAAGAGGGGGACAACAGUUGGAAACGACUGCUAAUACCGCAUAAGCCCACAGGUCGGCAUCGACCAGAGGGAAAAGGAGCAAUCCGCUUUGAGAUGGCCUCGCGUCCGAUUAGCUAGUUGGUGAGGUAACGGCCCACCAAGGCAACGAUCGGUAGCCGGACUGAGAGGUUGAACGGCCACAUUGGGACUGAGACACGGCCCAGACUCCUACGGGAGGCAGCAGUGGGGAAUAUUGCACAAUGGGGGAAACCCUGAUGCAGCGACGCCGCGUGGAGGAAGAAGGUCUUCGGAUUGUAAACUCCUGUUGUUGAGGAAGAUAAUGACGGUACUCAACAAGGAAGUGACGGCUAACUACGUGCCAGCAGCCGCGGUAAAACGUAGGUCACAAGCGUUGUCCGGAAUUACUGGGUGUAAAGGGAGCGCAGGCGGGAAGACAAGUUGGAAGUGAAAUCUAUGGGCUCAACCCAUAAACUGCUUUCAAAACUGUUUUUCUUGAGUAGUGCAGAGGUAGGCGGAAUUCCCGGUGUAGCGGUGGAAUGCGUAGAUAUCGGGAGGAACACCAGUGGCGAAGGCGGCCUACUGGGCACCAACUGACGCUGAGGCUCGAAAGUGUGGGUAGCAAACAGGAUUAGAUACCCUGGUAGUCCACACCGUAAACGAUGAUUACUAGGGGUUGGAGGAUUGACCCCUUCAGUGCCGCAGUUAACACAAUAAGUUAAUCCACCUGGGGAGUACGACCGCAAGGUUGAAACUCAAAGGAAUUGACGGGGGCCCGCACAAGCAGUGGAGUAUGUGGUUUAAUUCGACGCAACGCGAAGAACCUUACCAAGUCUUGACAUCCCUUGACGAACAUAGAAAUAUGUUUUCUCUUCGGAGCAAGGAGACAGGUGGUGCAUGGUUGUCGUCAGCUCGUGUCGUGAGAUGUUGGGUUAGGUCCCGCAACGAGCGCAACCCUUACUGUCAGUUACUACGCAAGAGGACUCUGGCAGGACUGCCGUUGACAAAACGGAGGAAGGUGGGGAUGACGUCAAAUCAUCAUGCCCUUUAUGACUUGGGCUACACACGUACUACAAUGGCGUUAAACAAAGAGAGGCAAGACCGCGAGGUGGAGCAAAACUCAGAAACAACGUCCCAGUUCGGACUGCAGGCUGCAACUCGCCUGCACGAAGUCGGAAUUGCUAGUAAUCGUGGAUCAGCAUGCCACGGUGAAUACGUUCCCGGGCCUUGUAC